This 73-nucleotide transfer RNA is filed under the name Fukomys damarensis (Damara mole-rat). It matches the Rfam family "tRNA". From Rfam's summary of the family: Transfer RNA (tRNA) molecules are approximately 80 nucleotides in length. Their secondary structure includes four short double-helical elements and three loops (D, anti-codon, and T loops). The record is from Rfam by way of RNAcentral. Lineage: Eukaryota; Metazoa; Chordata; Mammalia; Rodentia; Bathyergidae.
UCCUGGCUGACUUAUUCAAUAAAGUGUGGGACUCUUAAUCUCAGGGUCAUGGGUUCAAACCCCACACUGGGUG